Molecule: ribosomal RNA, 103 nt
Filed under: uncultured bacterium
Lineage: Bacteria
Description: partial 16S ribosomal RNA
Source: RNAcentral
AAGACGGCCCUACGGGUUGUAAACUGCUUUUAUACGGGAAUAAACCUCGGUACGUGUACCGAGCUGAAUGUACUGUAAGAAUAAGGAUCGGCUAACUCCGUGC